UACCAGCUCUCCGAGUGGUAGGGAUGAUUAUUGGGCUUAAAGCGUCCGUAGCCGGCUUAGCAAGUCUCCUGUUAAACUCAGCGACCUAAUCGUUGAAUCGCGGGAGAUACUACUAGGCUAGGAGGCGGGAGAGGUCGACGGUACUUCUGGGGUAGGGGUGAAAUCCUAUAAUCCCGGGAGGACCACUAGUGGCGAAGGCUGUCGACUAGAACGCGCUCGACGGUGAGGGACGAAAGCUGGGGGUAGCGAACCGGAUUAGAUACCCGGGUAGUCCCAGCUGUAAACGAUGCGGGCUAGGUGUUGGGAUGGCUACGGGCCAUUUCAGUGCCGCAGGGAAGCCAUUAAGCCCGCCGCCUGGGGAGUACGGCCGCAAGGCUGAAACUUAAAGGAAUUGGCGGGGGAGCACCACAAGGCGUGAAGCUUGCGGUUC
RNAcentral lists this ribosomal RNA (430 nucleotides) under uncultured archaeon. RNAcentral's name for it is "bacterial SSU rRNA". It matches the Rfam family "Archaeal small subunit ribosomal RNA", at positions 474 to 903 of the family's 1478-position model. The record is from RNAcentral.